GUUGCCCACAGGAAAACUUGAACUUGGAUGAGCCAAACGCGACGAGUGACACGAAAUAUGGGCGAGAACGAUUUUCCUUUCACGUUUCAAACGGUUUCUCAUGAGCAUGAGGAGGCGAAACGGAAGGUCUUUAACGACGAGUCUUUGGAAAUAAAUGUGACACAAGUAAUGCCAGGACGUAUCUUUCUGCCCAAAGCCUACGAAGAAGAUGCCAAAAGAAUUUAUAACAUGGAAUUGCGGCCAGAUGACAUAUGGAUUGUCACGUACCCAAAAUGUGGGACAACGUGGACCCAAGUAUUACUA
Molecule: long non-coding RNA, 303 nt
Organism: Tigriopus californicus
Lineage: Eukaryota; Metazoa; Arthropoda; Copepoda; Harpacticoida; Harpacticidae
Exons: 3
Source: RefSeq, a predicted model, not a curated record